Molecule: ribosomal RNA, 460 nt
Filed under: uncultured bacterium
Lineage: Bacteria
Description: bacterial SSU rRNA
Rfam family: Bacterial small subunit ribosomal RNA
Source: RNAcentral
CGGCGUGGAUAAGACAUGCAAGUCGAACGGGGUGCCUGUAGCAAUAUGGGCAUUCAGUGGCGGACGGGUGCGUAACACGUGGGCAAUUUGCCCGGAAGAGGGGGAUAGCCCGCCGAAAGGCGGAUUAAUACCGCAUGUGACCUGGGAGCAUUUCCUGGGAGUUAAAGGAGUGAUCCGCUUCCGGAUGAGCCCGCGGCCUAUCAGCUAGUUGGUGAGGUAACGGCUUACCAAGGCUACGACGGGUAGCUGGUCUUAGAGGACGACCAGCCACACUGGAACUGAGACACGGUCCAGACACCUACGGGUGGCAGCAGUCGAGAAUCUUUCACAAUGGGGAAACCCUGAUGGAGCGACGCCGCGUGGAGGAUGAAGGUCUUCGGAUUGUAAACCCCUGUCAUGAGGGAACAAAGCCCGCGAGGGUGUGAUAGUACUUCAAGAGGAAGGGACGGCUAACUUCGUG